CACAGGUCCAAGGGGUAAGAAAGGCCAAGAUGGUAUCAAAGGGGAAAAGGGGGAGCGUGGAGAGGCAGGGCUGAAGGGUCUUCAAGGAAUUGCGG
Molecule: long non-coding RNA, 95 nt
Organism: Elgaria multicarinata webbii
Lineage: Eukaryota; Metazoa; Chordata; Lepidosauria; Squamata; Anguidae
Exons: 3
Source: RefSeq, a predicted model, not a curated record